ACACCUCAUAAAAACCCUCUUUAGUUGAACAGAGAGGAUGGAAACAGUGUGGAAGGUGUUACCAUCCCAGAGUCUGCAAGACAGAUUGUGAAAAGUGUACAGCAGUCCCAUGGAGAACUGAUGAGAAAUUAAAACAAAUCCAACCAACUCAGAGAAUACCGCUGAGAGAAUGGUCAAUAAAAAGAUAUUACAAAUGCUGGUCAUAAACAAACAACAUCUCAAACAAAACCAAUUUACUGACAACUGGAUCAAGUCAUUUCUUCAUCCCUGGACACUGAAAACCUGCAUAGGAUACUUUCUUGCUUACUCAUUUGUUGUCUGAGGGUGGAAACUGAACUC
Non-coding RNA from Pogona vitticeps (central bearded dragon), 339 nucleotides. NCBI's taxonomy places the organism in Eukaryota, Metazoa, Chordata, Lepidosauria, Squamata, Agamidae. The record is from RefSeq and is a predicted model, not a curated record.